AUUGAACGCUGGCGGCAUGCCUUACACAUGCAAGUCGAACGGCAGCACGGGUGCUUGCACCUGGUGGCGAGUGGCGAACGGGUGAGUAAUACAUCGGAACGUACCUUAUCGUGGGGGAUAACGCAGCGAAAGCUGUGCUAAUACCGCAUACGCCCUGAGGGGGAAAGCGGGGGAUCGAAAGACCUCGCGCGAUUAGAGCGGCCGAUGCCUGAUUAGCUUGUUGGUGGGGUAAAAGCCCACCAAGGCGACGAUCAGUAGCUGGUCUGAGAGGACGAUCAGCCACACUGGGACUGAGACACGGCCCAGACUCCUACGGGAGGCAGCAGUGGGGAAUUUUGGGACAAUGGGCGAAAGCCUGAUCCAGCCAUGCCGCGUGCAGGAUGAAGGCCUUCGGGUUGUAAAC
RNAcentral lists this ribosomal RNA (403 nucleotides) under uncultured bacterium. RNAcentral's name for it is "bacterial SSU rRNA". It matches the Rfam family "Bacterial small subunit ribosomal RNA", at positions 30 to 430 of the family's 1533-position model. The record is from RNAcentral.